AUGAAAUUUUGGUCAAUCAAGUUUGUAGAUAUUGCUGAGAAUAUAUUGUGCAAGUGUAAUAUUGAUGAUGGCCUUAUUGUAAAAGAGGUGUCAUAUGGAUCUCCUGCUGAGAAACUUGGAAUACUAGUGGGUGACGUCAUUAAUUGUUUCAAUGGAGAACGCAUCUCUACAACAGUUGAGUUAGAGAAUAUGUUGCUAAGCAAAUGCGAGGAUGAAAAUAAUAGCCUUGAUUCUGAAGUGAAUGUCAAACUUGAUGUAUUUCACAUACGCAAGUCUCUCUGGAGUGACAGAACAUUAACUGUAAAAGUGUCUGAUGAUGGUGAAGUUGUUGCAACAGGAGUUAGUUAUCCUUUCGGAGAAGGGACACCAUGA
This 372-nucleotide ribosomal RNA is filed under the name Triticum aestivum (bread wheat). RNAcentral's name for it is "partial small subunit ribosomal RNA". Lineage: Eukaryota; Viridiplantae; Streptophyta; Magnoliopsida; Poales; Poaceae. The record is from RNAcentral.